ACGAACGCUGGCGGCGUGCUUAACACAUGCAAGUCGAACGGAAAGGCCCUGCUUUUGUGGGGUGCUCGAGUGGCGAACGGGUGAGUAACACGUGAGUAACCUGCCCUUGACUUUGGGAUAACUUCAGGAAACUGGGGCUAAUACCGGAUAGGAGCUCCUGCUGCAUGGUGGGGGUUGGAAAGUUUCGGCGGUUGGGGAUGGACUCGCGGCUUAUCAGCUUGUUGGUGGGGUAGUGGCUUACCAAGGCUUUGACGGGUAGCCGGCCUGAGAGGGUGACCGGCCCCAUUGGGACUUAGAUACGGCCCAGACUCCUACGGGAGGCAGCAGUGGGGAAUAUUGCACAAUGGGCGGAAGCCUGAUGCAGCAACGCCGCGUGCGGGAUGACGGCCUUCGGGUUGUAAACCGCUUUCGCCUGUGACGAAGCGUGAGUGACGGUAAUGGGUAAAGAAGCACCGGCUAACUACGUG
Molecule: ribosomal RNA, 467 nt
Filed under: uncultured bacterium
Lineage: Bacteria
Description: partial 16S ribosomal RNA
Rfam family: Bacterial small subunit ribosomal RNA
Source: RNAcentral